Molecule: ribosomal RNA, 1619 nt
Filed under: metagenome
Description: bacterial LSU rRNA
Rfam family: Bacterial large subunit ribosomal RNA
Source: RNAcentral
AAAAAGGGCGUGAAAAGCGCCCUCGCCGAAAGCCCAAGGUUUCCUACGCGACGUUCAUCGGCGUAGGGUGAAUCGGCUCCUAGGCGAGGCAGAGAUGCGUAGUCGAUGGGAAACAGGUCAAUAUUCCUGUACCGAUUCUAGAUGCGAUGUGGGGACGGAGAAGGUUAGGUCAGCCGGGUGUUGGACGUCCCGGUUUAAGCGUGUAGGCGUGCCCCUUAGGCAAAUCCGGGGGGCUGAGCUGAGGCGUGAUGACGAGGAACCACGGUUCCGAAGUGAUUGAUACCAAGCUUCCAGGAAAAGCCACUAAGCUUCAGUCUAGAGUUGACCGUACCGCAAACCGACACAGGUGGGCAGGAUGAAAAUUCUAAGGCGCUUGAGAGAACUCAGGAGAAGGAACUCGGCAAAUUAACACCGUAACUUCGGGAGAAGGUGUGCCCCAGUAGCGUGUAGAGACUUGCUCUCGAAGCGCGAUGGGGUUGCAGUGAAAUGGUGGCUGCGACUGUUUAAUAAAAACACAGCACUCUGCAAACACGAAAGUGGACGUAUAGGGUGUGACGCCUGCCCGGUGCCGGAAGGUUAAGUGAUGGGGUGCAAGCUCUUGAUCGAAGCCCCGGUAAACGGCGGCCGUAACAAUAACGGUCCUAAGGUAGCGAAAUUCCUUGUCGGGUAAGUUCCGACCUGCACGAAUGGCGUAACGAUGGCCACACUGUCUCCUCCUGGGACUCAGCGAAGUUGAAAUGUUUGUGAAGAUGCAAUCUACCCGCGGCUAGACGGAAAGACCCCAUGAACCUUUACUGUAGCUUUGCAUUGGACUUUGAACCGGUUUGUGUAGGAUAGGUGGGAGACUGUGAAGCCGGGACGCUAGUUUCGGUGGAGUCAACCUUGAAAUACCACCCCGAUUUGUUUGAGGUUCUAACCUUGGUCCGUGAAUCCGGAUCGGGGACCGUGCAUGGUAGGCAGUUUGACUGGGGCGGUCUCCUCCCAAAAGGUAACGGAGGAGUACGAAGGUACGCUUAGGGCGGUCGGACAUCGCCCACAAAGUGCAAUGGCAAAAGCGUGCUUGACUGCGAGACCCACAAGUCGAGCAGGUACGAAAGUAGGUCAUAGUGAUCCGGUGGUUCUGUAUGGAAGGGCCAUCGCUCAACGGAUAAAAGGUACUCUGGGGAUAACAGGCUAAUUCCUCCCAAGAGUUCAUAUCGACGGGGGAGUUUGGCACCUCGAUGUCGGCUCAUCACAUCCUGGGGCUGUAGUCGGUCCCAAGGGUAUGGCUGUUCGCCAUUUAAAGUGGUACGCGAGCUGGGUUUAAAACGUCGUGAGACAGUUUGGUCCCUAUCUGCCGUGGGCGCUGGAAAUUUGAAGGGGGCUGCUCCUAGUACGAGAGGACCGGAGUGGACGAACCUCUGGUGUACCGGUUAUGACGCCAGUCGUAUCGCCGGGUAGCUAAGUUCGGAAGAGAUAAACGCUGAAAGCAUCUAAGCGUGAAACUCGCCUUAAGAUAAGAUUUCCCGGAGUCUUGAACUCCCUGAAGGGUCGUCGAAGACCACGACGUUGAUAGGUCAGGUGUGGAAGCGCAGCAAUGCGUUAAGCUAACUGAUACUAAUUGCCCGUGCGGCUUGAUC